CAGCCGUAAACUAUGCUCGCUAGGUGUCAGGCAUGGCGCGACCGUGUCUGGUGCCGCAGGGAAGCCGUGAAGCGAGCCACCUGGGAAGUACGGCCGCAAGGCUGAAACUUAAAGGAUUGGCGGGGGAGCACAACAACGGGUGGAGCCUGCGGUUUAAUUGGACUCAACGCCGGACAACUCACCGGGGACGACAGCAAUAUGUAGGCCAGGCUGAAGACCUUGCCUGAAUCGCUGAGAGGAGGUGCAUGGCGUAGACGUCU
RNAcentral lists this ribosomal RNA (260 nucleotides) under uncultured archaeon. Its description in RNAcentral is "partial 16S ribosomal RNA". It matches the Rfam family "Archaeal small subunit ribosomal RNA", at positions 748 to 1009 of the family's 1478-position model. The record is from RNAcentral.